RNAcentral lists this long non-coding RNA (1251 nucleotides) under Anolis carolinensis (green anole). RNAcentral describes it as "lncRNA (ENSACAG00000044636.1)". The record is from RNAcentral. Lineage: Eukaryota; Metazoa; Chordata; Lepidosauria; Squamata; Anolidae.
AAAAACACUAAAAAUAAUUUAAAACACUAAAAAUUAAUACAAUAAAAUAAUAAAAUAUAAUAAAUAAAAAGAUAACUUACAAUACAAUUAAUUAAAAAAUACAAAUAACGUCAAAUAAAAAUUACACAACAAUUUUUAACCAAUACCACCACCACUUUGCCACAGCAACGCGUGGCCGGGCACAGCUAGUAAUUACUAUAAUUAUAUUCUUGCGUGGUAGUGUGUUGAGUUUUGUGAUCCCUUCCAACCCCAUGAUUCUAACAUCUGGAAUCAGGGCCACAUCUAACCUGGUUAAGAAUAUUCUUGCUACAUAUAUAUACUUCGCCACAGCAACGCGUGGCCGGGCACAGCUAGCGGCUCUAUAAAUAAUAAUAAUAAUAAUAAUAAUAAUAAUAAUAAUAAUAAUAAUUUAAUUUUGUACCCCGCCAUCUACCCAGAGGGACUCGGGGCGGCUUACAGAUAUAAAACCAGCAUACAGUAAUAUCAAAUACAAAAACACACAAAUAAAUUUAAAAGGCAUUAAAAAAAGGGUUUUUCACUCCAUAAAAGUGCACUUUUUAAACUCCAAAUUCUCAAUUUUAAUAGUCAAAGACAUUCGGUUGAGGGAUGCCUGAUCUUUGGUGGGGUAGUUGGACUUGGAGGAAUUUUUCUUAAUAAAGAUCACAUGUAUGACAAUAUUUGUAUUGGGUUUUGCAUUUGGAGACAUGUGAACAACACCAAUAUUGUCUUCAUUCCAAGUCUAGUACAUCAAUAAAAGCUCAUCCUCAUGCUGCUAAUCUAAUCAUAGUGUUCUUUCCAUCCAUUCAGAACCUCUGGAAAUUAGGUUACACUGAAUUAAAAGAUGUGAAGAGGGAGGGGAAAGAAAAGAAAGAAGAGGAAGAGCCUUUUUAUUGUAGACAACAAAAAUGACAUGUUAGCAAUCAGAUUCUAGACGCUAGACAAAGAAAUCAAAUUUGAUACUCUGCCAAGCUGCGCAAGUAGGAACCUUUUAGUAUUUCAGUUACAAAAAUAGGCAUUUCAUGGCAUGUUUUCACACAAAGAGUUGAAGAAAUCCAGGGAAUUGGCUUGUGGCUUCUUGCUCUCAGUGCUCAUUGGUCCUGUUGCAAUUUGGGCCUAUUCUUACCUUGAUGCUUGACACCCUAAAGUCCCAUCUUCAUGAUGUAGUCAGGGACCUACAGUAACUGAUUAAAUAGUACCAGGGAGGCUAAUGUUUGCACUCCACAACAAUGAGUAAACAAAGAAAGGAACAAA